AUACGUAGGGGGCGAGCGUUGUCCGGAAUGAUUGGGCGUAAAGGGCGCGUAGGCGGCCCGGUAAGUCUGGAGUGAAAGUCCUGUUUUUAAGAUGGGAAUUGCUUUGGAUACUGACGGGCUUGAGUUCGGGAGAGGUAAGUGGAAUUCCCAGUGUAGCGGUGAAAUGCGUAGAGAUUGGGAGGAACACCAGUGGCGAAGGCGACUUACUGGACUGUAACUGACGCUGAGGCGCGAAAGUGUGGGGAGCAGACAGGAUUAGAUACCCUGGUAGUCCACACUGUAAACGAUGAAUGCUAGGUGUAGGGGGUAUCGACCCCUUCUGUGCCGCAGUCAACACAAUAAGCAUUCCGCCUGGGGAGUACGGCCGCAAGGUUGAAACUCAAAGGAAUUGACGGGG
Molecule: ribosomal RNA, 397 nt
Filed under: uncultured bacterium
Lineage: Bacteria
Description: partial 16S ribosomal RNA
Rfam family: Bacterial small subunit ribosomal RNA
Source: RNAcentral